This is a non-coding RNA of Arachis ipaensis, 407 nucleotides long. The record is from RefSeq and is a predicted model, not a curated record. Lineage: Eukaryota; Viridiplantae; Streptophyta; Magnoliopsida; Fabales; Fabaceae.
CCUGUGGUUCAGUUUCUGGAAGGAGAACUACUCAUAGUGUGUUUGUAUUGCAAUCCAGGUGGACGCUUUGCCUCAAGGGAAAAAAUGACCCUUCUAAAGAACUGUCGAAGUUUUCUGUCAAACUUUUUCUUCAUUCCAGUGGGCAUGUUGCAGGUAAUAAUUUCUGUUUUUUGGAGAAUCCCUAGAGCUUCUUGGAAUGCAAAAGGAAGGCUUUUCUCUCUCUCUCUCUCUCUCUCUCUCUCCCUCCCAGCAAUAAGUGCAUGCGUUCAUCGUAGCACGGUUUUCUGGAUUGGCUGUUUUGAGGGCUCUCUCUCUCUUCUCCCCUUCCCAGCAAUAAGUGCAUGUGUUCAUUGUAGCACGGUUUUCUGGAUUGGCUGUUUUGAGGGCUUAGUUAUUUGAAAAAUAGA